UACAGAGGUCCCAAGCGUUGUUCGGAUUCACUGGGCGUAAAGGGUGCGUAGGUGGCUUGGUAAGUUCGAUGUGAAAUCUCCGGGCUUAACCCGGAAAUGGCAUUGAAUACUAUUGAGCUGGAGGUUUGGAGGGGGACUGGAAUUCUCGGUGUAGCAGUGAAAUGCGUAGAUAUCGAGAGGAACACCUGUGGCGAAAGCGGCUCACUGGACCACAACUGACGCUGAUGCACGAAAGCUAGGGGAGCAAACAGG
This 252-nucleotide ribosomal RNA is filed under the name uncultured bacterium. RNAcentral's name for it is "partial 16S ribosomal RNA". It matches the Rfam family "Bacterial small subunit ribosomal RNA", at positions 524 to 776 of the family's 1533-position model. The record is from RNAcentral.